UACGGAGGGGCUAGCGUUGUUCGGAAUUACUGGGCGUAAAGCGCACGUAGGCGGAUAUUUAAGUCAGGGGUGAAAUCCCGGGGCUCAACCCCGGAACUGCCUUUGAUACUGGGUAUCUUUGAGUCCGGAAGAGGUGAGUGGAAUUCCGAGUGUAGAGGUGAAAUUCGUAGAUAUUCGGAGGAACACCAGUGGCGAAGGCGGCUCACUGGUCCGGUACUGACGCUGAGGUGCGAAAGCGUGGGGAGCAAACAGG
RNAcentral lists this ribosomal RNA (253 nucleotides) under uncultured bacterium. Its description in RNAcentral is "partial 16S ribosomal RNA". It matches the Rfam family "Bacterial small subunit ribosomal RNA", at positions 524 to 776 of the family's 1533-position model. The record is from RNAcentral.